GCGGAUGCAGCAAUGCAUUAGCGGCGGACGGGUGAGUAACACGUGGGCAACCUGGCCUUAAGAGGGGGAUAACGUUCCGAAAGGGACGCUAAUACCGCGUAAAUCAGCGAAAUCGCAUGAUUUUGUUGGAAAAGGAGAAAUCCGCUUAAGGAUGGGCCCGCGGCCUAUUAGCUAGUUGGUAGGGUAACGGCCUACCAAGGCGACGAUAGGUAGCCGACCUGAGAGGGUGAACGGCCACACUGGAACUGAGAAACGGUCCAGACUCCUACGGGAGGCAGCAGUAGGGAAUAUUCCGCAAUGGGCGAAAGCCUGACGGAGCAACGCCGCGUGAGUGAAGAAGGUCUUCGGAUCGUAAAGCUCUGUCAACAGGGACGAAACAAGACGGUACCUGAGAAGGAAGCCACGGCAAACUACGUGCCAGCAGCCGCGGUAAUACGUAGGUGGCAAGCGUUGUCCGGAAUAACUGGGCGUAAAGCGCAUGUAGACGGCAUGAUAAGCCAAAUGUGAAAUGUAGGGGCUCAACCCCUACACUGCGAUUGGAACUGUCAAGCUUGAGUGCAGGAGAGGCAAAUGGAAUUCCCAGUGUAGCAGUGAAAUGCGUAGAGAUUGGGAGGAACACCAGUGGCGAAGGCGAUUUGCUGGACUGCAACUGACGUUGAGAUGCGAAAGCCAGGGGAGCAAACGGGAUUAGAUACCCCGGUAGUCCUGGCCGUAAACGAUGGAUACUAGGUGUAGAGGGUAUCGACCCCUUCUGUGCCGCAGUGAACGCAAUAAGU
Molecule: ribosomal RNA, 776 nt
Filed under: uncultured Schwartzia sp.
Lineage: Bacteria; Bacillati; Bacillota; Negativicutes; Selenomonadales; Selenomonadaceae
Description: bacterial SSU rRNA
Rfam family: Bacterial small subunit ribosomal RNA
Source: RNAcentral